RNAcentral lists this ribosomal RNA (306 nucleotides) under Candidatus Ruminococcus avistercoris. RNAcentral's name for it is "partial 23S ribosomal RNA". It matches the Rfam family "Bacterial large subunit ribosomal RNA", at positions 2618 to 2925 of the family's 2925-position model. The record is from RNAcentral. Lineage: Bacteria; Bacillati; Bacillota; Clostridia; Eubacteriales; Oscillospiraceae.
GUCGUGAGACAGUUCGGUCCCUAUCCGGCGUGGGCGUAGGAUAUUUGAGAGGAGCUGUCCUUAGUACGAGAGGACCGGGAUGGACUGGCCGCUGGUGUACCUGUUGCACUGCCAAGUGCACGGCAGGGUAGCCAAGCCGGGACGGGAUAAACGCUGAAGGCAUCUAAGCGUGAAGCCCCCCUCAAGAUGAGAUAUCCCAAACGAAAGGAGUAAGACCCCUUGCAGACGACGAGGUAGAUAGGGCAGAGGUGGAAGUGCAGCAAUGCAUGGAGCUGACUGUUACUAAUCGGUCGAGGGUUUGACCUG